GCCGAGAUGGCGGAACGGUAGACGCAGUUGACUCAAAAUCAACCGGGGCGACCCGUGCGGGUUCGAGUCCCGCUCUCGGCACCA
RNAcentral lists this transfer RNA (84 nucleotides) under Trueperaceae bacterium. Its description in RNAcentral is "tRNA-Leu". It matches the Rfam family "tRNA". From Rfam's summary of the family: Transfer RNA (tRNA) molecules are approximately 80 nucleotides in length. Their secondary structure includes four short double-helical elements and three loops (D, anti-codon, and T loops). The record is from RNAcentral. Lineage: Bacteria; Thermotogati; Deinococcota; Deinococci; Trueperales; Trueperaceae. RNAcentral also lists the same sequence under 1 other name.